AUUUGUUUUAAACCGCUGUAAUAGAAAACAAACCUUUGAAGAUAUUGUCUUUCCUUUUCUCACUCAUAAUAAAUUCUUCCGAUUGAUCUUCGUUAAUUUUUAUAUUAUCUUGGAUCUAAAGGUUGGAUUGAAUUUCAAAAGAAGUAACAUUUCUCAUGAAAUAAAUUAGUAAGACGUCGUUAACUAAUUUAACUCAACGACGUUUUCUAAUGAGGGAUCAUAUCGUAUUUAAAAUACUUUAGGUUUUGGAACAUAAUUUUUCAAGAAAUUUAUUAAUUCAAUUCCAAUUUAUAUGUACUUUAUACGUAUCGAAAAAAUAAUUAAUUUUAAAAAAGUCGACUAAAACAGCGCCAUGACACAAUAAAACGCCCGCAGUGCAAGUUUAUUACAAACGUAAAAAAAUUUUCUAUGUCAAUCUUUAAUAAGUACAAAAAUGAUAAUCUUUUUAUUAAUACAUUCUUAUUAUUAAACAGUGCUCAUUUAAGCUUACGUUUGAAGAGCUUUUGAUUUUGGGCAAAAGUAAAUAGAAUUGAUUGUAAUAUCUGAUAUAAAUCUCUUGUAUAUAAAAUGGAAUAAAAACUGCUUUUAUUUAGACGAAAAUGAAUCCUUUUGUGAUGGCAAAAGCAUAAAAACGACAUGUAUAUUCAAUCCAUCUGUUGUAAACUCUUAUUAUUACUAUACUAAAAUUACACUACAUAGAUAUACUAAGACUAGACCGACUGGACUAGAAACUAAAACCAGUGGUGAAACGGUAAAAUCACAUGAAAUGUCAAAAUUGUAAUGACAUUUUAACAAGCAGAGAGAAAUUUGAACAAUUCUCUAUCCAAAUCGUUCUUGCAGGAACGGAUCUGAAAUAAUUUCUGCUUUUCACCUCUCCUAAAAGCCUCGUGGCCCCUCUAAAGCUGUCCUAGGGCUAGAUGAAACGUCCUUGGCAGGCCAAUAGAAAAUGACGUCAACCUUGAGAAAAAUCAUCUAUUCAAGCCUUCUAGACACGAGAAUCGCCAAUCCCAAACUGCAGAUGAAAAAUUAUAUAACACGGUGACGUGCCUCUACCCAUUACACAUAAUAGUUUUAUAUGUAAUAAUGCAUUAAGAUGUAAUAAAUUGUUAGUUAAAUUUUAAUCUAUAACUAAAUGAAAACC
Cimex lectularius (bed bug) is the source of this 1141-nucleotide long non-coding RNA. RefSeq lists it as uncharacterized. NCBI's taxonomy places the organism in Eukaryota, Metazoa, Arthropoda, Insecta, Hemiptera, Cimicidae. The record is from RefSeq and is a predicted model, not a curated record. The transcript is spliced from 3 exons.